UGUUACCACGACGCAAUCGAAACAGAGGAGAUUUGCGAACCCUCGUUCGCCUGCUCUCGGCGGCUGUCUGUGCUACCCACGGCGCCGCAAUGGCAGAGGAGGGGCUGGAGUGCUGGUUGGAUCCCGUCGACCUAUUUUGCGAUCUUGCAGGUUUCCAUUGAGGGAAGAAUUUGCGGGCAGCCUCGGGCGCCCCGGAUCCGGUGCCCCUAGUCCUGCUGCCGAGAUGCGUUGCGGGCGCCGCUACGGCGGCUGAUUCGAAUGUCGGGUCUGGAUGUGAGCAAGCUGAUGGUGCCUGCAGCCCUACGUGGGCUGGAGGAGAGGGGCGACGGAGAAGGGAUGUAUCUCCAACCAGGUCCGCACAGUCGACUGACAGAGUCAAUCCUGAAGCACCUGGCUGGACUAAAAGGUAUUAAUCCGCUGUUUGGUUUAACUUGCGCAUCUAGAACUGGAAGGAUUUUUCUUUAAAUAAAGAAUGAAUGGAUAAAUACAAUCUGAGGAAGCACCCAUACAUGACCCGGAUAUAUGAAAUCAGAACUAAGUGGGCUAAGCCGUACUUAAAGGGUGUGUUCUGCGCUAAAAUGACGAGCAUCCAACGAAGCGAGAGUUACAUGUCACCUGUUAGCCCGAUGCACUUUUUUGUUAGACAAAAUAUGAGGCUCCAGUUUAACCGUGAGAGGAAGGAAACAAUGAAGAGAAGAGAACUAUGAUAAGAGGUGUCGUGCGGAGAACAAAUCUCACAAUAGAGCGGCACCCAAGCUAAAUGUACAGUGCGUGCUAUGUUCGAGCAAUUUGGGCGGAUCUUAAUCUAAGGCUCUGCAUACAAUGUUAUAGAGGUUGAGAAGAUGAAGUAUGUAGCGAGGCACCGCAAUGCGUCAAACCGUAAGAAGUGGAGUCGAGUUGUUUAUGAGGUAACAAUCAAGGACUGCGGAUCU
Triticum dicoccoides is the source of this 932-nucleotide long non-coding RNA. RefSeq lists it as uncharacterized. The transcript is spliced from 3 exons. The record is from RefSeq and is a predicted model, not a curated record. NCBI's taxonomy places the organism in Eukaryota, Viridiplantae, Streptophyta, Magnoliopsida, Poales, Poaceae.